GAUGAACGCUGGCGGCGUGCCUAAUACAUGCAAGUCGAGCGAACAGACGAGGAGCUUGCUCCUCUGACGUUAGCGGCGGACGGGUGAGUAACACGUGGAUAACCUACCUAUAAGACUGGGAUAACUUCGGGAAACCGGAGCUAAUACCGGAUAAUUUAUUGAACCGCAUGGUUCAAUAGUGAAAGACGGUUUUGCUGUCACUUAUAGAUGGAUCCGCGCCGCAUUAGCUAGUUGGUAAGGUAUCGGCUUACCAAGGCAACGAUGCGUAGCCGACCUGAGAGGGUGAUCGGCCACACUGGAACUGAGACACGGUCCAGACUCCUACAGGAGGCAGCAGUAGGGAAUCUUCCGCAAUGGGCGAAAGCCUGACGGAGCAACGCCGCGUGAGUGAUGAAGGUCUUCGGAUCGUAAAACUCUGUUAUUAGGGAAGAACAAAUGUGUAAGUAACUAUGCACGUCUUGACGGUACCUAAUCAGAAAGCCACGGCUAACUACGUG
RNAcentral lists this ribosomal RNA (497 nucleotides) under uncultured bacterium. RNAcentral describes it as "partial 16S ribosomal RNA". It matches the Rfam family "Bacterial small subunit ribosomal RNA", at positions 28 to 507 of the family's 1533-position model. The record is from RNAcentral.